Molecule: ribosomal RNA, 468 nt
Filed under: uncultured bacterium
Lineage: Bacteria
Description: partial 16S ribosomal RNA
Rfam family: Bacterial small subunit ribosomal RNA
Source: RNAcentral
GACGAACGCUGGCGGCGUGCUUAACACAUGCAAGUCGAACGGAAAGGCCCUGCUUUUGUGGGGUGCUCGAGUGGCGAACGGGUGAGUAACACGUGAGUAACCUGCCCUUGACUUUGGGAUAACUUCAGGAAACUGGGGCUAAUACCGGAUAGGAGCUCCUGCUGCAUGGUGGGGGUUGGAAAGUUUCGGCGGUUGGGGAUGGACUCGCGGCUUAUCAGCUUGUUGGUGGGGUAGUGGCUUACCAAGGCUUUGACGGGUAGCCGGCCUGAGAGGGUGACCGGCACCAGUGGGCUUGGAUAGCGGCCCGGCUCCCAAGGGGGGGCAGCGGGGGUAAAUAUAGCACAAGGGGCGGAACCUGGAUCAAGCACCCCGGCGGGGGGGGGGCCGGCUUUCGGUUUGAAACCCGCUUUCGCCGGGGAAGAAGGGGGGGGGAGGUUAAUGGGAAAAAAAGCACCGGCUACCUGCGUC